GGGCAGAUACUCAAGCGGUCAACGAGGACAGACUGUAAAUCUGUUGACGAAUGUCUACGAAGGUUCGAAUCCUUCUCUGCCCA
Molecule: transfer RNA, 83 nt
Filed under: Bacteroidota bacterium
Lineage: Bacteria; Pseudomonadati; Bacteroidota
Also listed under: 1 other name
Description: tRNA-Tyr
Rfam family: tRNA
About the family: Transfer RNA (tRNA) molecules are approximately 80 nucleotides in length. Their secondary structure includes four short double-helical elements and three loops (D, anti-codon, and T loops).
Source: RNAcentral